GCUUCAUAGAACAUGGCCCAUUUUAUCUCAGAUUGAGUUACACGUCUAUAUAAAGGGCUGAAGUAACUGCGGAGGUUAGUUGUUCAUUCAGUCAUAGCUGUAGAGAUUAUAUUGCACAUUCACAAGGAUAUUGUGGCCAGAGGAAUGGGAAUAAAGAUGCUUUUGCUGGUCUGUGUAUUGGCAUUCACUGGCCAAGGGCAAGCGAUUCCUGAAACUGAUGUACAACGUUCAGGUGUCAGUGAAGCUACAGGUACAGUGGAGGACCCAGGGAGAGUUGGAGACCAGAUCAACCCCCACAGACACCAUGACAGACUGUGUGACUGUAAGGGGAGGAGGAGAGAGGGUUUGAGUGGAGGCUGCCUCUGCCAGGAGUCUGCCAAAUCCUACCGCAAGCCCAGGAAGGCCUUUGUGGCAAUGUGCCGAAGGAAAGGAUUCCAGAAUCAGUGGAAAUGCCAGAAGAUCAUGGAAAGGGUAGAAAGGUCAAAGGGUGAUCAAGGCAAAAACUUCAUGAGUAUUCCAAUUUAAAGAGUUGACCUUUAAUAACUACUUUAUAAACCUUGUGACCAUGUUUUGUAAUCUCAUGUUGCUCGCUCAAGAACCAUGACUCGUUUUUUAAUAAAAAUGUAUUAUAUAAUUAUACUCCUUUGAAAUACACAUUUUUAUAACAAGUUUCACUAUGUGUGUGGAUUAAUUUCCAGUGUAUUAUUUUAGCAUUUUAUCAUUAGAUUUAAUAUUUCCUUUUGCGUGUUUUGUGCCACUCGAAAUACCCCUGUUACUGCUUCAUUAAAUCCACAUUUCUUCACAGCGAUUAUGCCGAUAAAGAAAUCACCCAAGAUUGCACCAUUCAGUAGGACAUGGGUGAAAGACAAAGAUUCAUUUAAGACAAUAAUUAAUGAAGAGGAAAUAUAAACAUAAGACACAACCCAUGUUUUACAUAAACACCAGUUUAAUAUAUUGUCGUUUUGAAACAUUUUACCUUUAAGAUAUUUAUUUAUGAGGUAAAUAAACCUGAAUUUGUACUUGAACUACAGAGUUUGCAUACAUGAUCAAACGCAGAACACAGAAAGGCACUCAGUGAAUGGACUUCCGGGCAAUAUUCACAGUCACAAGGGCAGUGAAUAUCUAAGAACAUUGAAUUCAUAACAGAAAUAGGCAGCGCAGCUGAGCAGUGGAUGUUUGCGCCUUCAAUUACCAUGU
Molecule: long non-coding RNA, 1197 nt
Filed under: Salmo trutta (river trout)
Lineage: Eukaryota; Metazoa; Chordata; Actinopteri; Salmoniformes; Salmonidae
Description: lncRNA (ENSSTUG00000039231.1)
Source: RNAcentral